RNAcentral lists this ribosomal RNA (689 nucleotides) under uncultured Microbacteriaceae bacterium. RNAcentral describes it as "bacterial SSU rRNA". It matches the Rfam family "Bacterial small subunit ribosomal RNA", at positions 95 to 798 of the family's 1533-position model. The record is from RNAcentral. Lineage: Bacteria; Bacillati; Actinomycetota; Actinomycetes; Micrococcales; Microbacteriaceae.
GUGGCGAACGGGUGAGUAACACGUGAGCAAUCUGCCCUUGACUCUGGGAUAACUGCGGGAAACUGUAGCUAAUACCGGAUACUUUCCUCGCUGGGCAUCCAGCGGGGAAGAAAGAAUUUCGGUCAAGGAUGAGCUCGCGGCCUAUCAGCUAGUUGGUGAGGUAAAGGCUCACCAAGGCGACGACGGGUAGCCGGCCUGAGAGGGUGACCGGCCACACUGGAACUGAGACACGGUCCAGACUCCUACGGGAGGCAGCAGUGGGGAAUAUUGCACAAUGGGCGAAAGCCUGAUGCAGCAACGCCGCGUGAGGGAUGAAGGCCUUCGGGUUGUAAACCUCUUUUAGCAGGGAAGAAGCGAAAGUGACGGUACCUGCAGAAAAAGCACCGGCUAACUACGUGCCAGCAGCCGCGGUAAUACGUAGGGUGCAAGCGUUGUCCGGAAUUAUUGGGCGUAAAGAGCUCGUAGGCGGUUUGUCACGUCUGCUGUGAAAAUCCGAGGCUCAACCUCGGACUUGCAGUGGGUACGGGCAGGCUAGAGUGCGGUAGGGGAGAAGGGAAUUCCUGGUGUAGCGGUGGAAUGCGCAGAUAUCAGGAGGAACACCAAUGGCGAAGGCACUUCUCUGGGCCGUAACUGACGCUGAGGAGCGAAAGCGUGGGGAGCGAACAGGAUUAGAUACCCUGGUAGUCCAC